GUUGUGUUCAUAUAGACGAAACGAAACGAAACACCGAACUUUAAACAACAAAUACGAAUGGAAUUCAAUAUGGAAAUCAGCAACACGGCUAUAAUAAUUGGACUUUUAUGGUGGCUUCUAAGAAUAGCCGGGAGAUUCCUGUGCUGCUGUGGACAUGAUCAAUGUGACGUUCAGCUCUCAGUUGAAGAAACCGCGCCAUCUAUUGGUGUAAGCACUGUAAG
Sinocyclocheilus grahami is the source of this 221-nucleotide long non-coding RNA. RefSeq lists it as uncharacterized. The transcript has 3 exons. The record is from RefSeq and is a predicted model, not a curated record. NCBI's taxonomy places the organism in Eukaryota, Metazoa, Chordata, Actinopteri, Cypriniformes, Cyprinidae.